Molecule: long non-coding RNA, 632 nt
Organism: Pseudophryne corroboree (corroboree frog)
Lineage: Eukaryota; Metazoa; Chordata; Amphibia; Anura; Myobatrachidae
Exons: 5
Source: RefSeq, a predicted model, not a curated record
UUUUAUAGGUGUGCAUCCAGAAGCCAGUAUCCCCGCCUUGAGCUCGUAGAACCGGCUCUUGUUUCCAUAUAAAUCAGAUUGUACCGCGUUGCCAUGGUGAUGGGGAGCACAAUGAUGACGGAGCCUAGAUGCUUGUCAUCGCUAGAGCGCCGGCCGGGGCGGGCGGGUGAUCCGCUUUCCGGAAGACGCGAGUCACUGGGGGAUGUUUGACUUCUAUAAAGGUUCCUAAUCUGUUGCAGCGAUGUAUUCUGGGAAGGGGACAGCGGUGGCUCUAGUGUUCAGCCUCCUGGUGCUGUGUGAUGUUGGCUUCUCCCGUAUCAUCUUCAACCCAAUUGGUGAUAAGAACUGCACGGAAAACUCAUGUGCCUCGCCCUGCAUUUCCACCUGCUCUCUUCGGCUAAAGAAAAUGGUUGCCUGCGCCGCUGUCUGCAAAGAGAUGUGUGUGUGUAAUUUAGGCUAUGUAUACAACAGUACCGGACACUGCGUGUUCCCUAGCGACUGCAAAUGAGACUCUUUCCUUUUCCUCCCAGAAUAUACAUGUCCCAACCAAUCACAACAGCUAUUGUACCUAAUGUCUCUUUAUGGUAGUUUCCUUUUAGAUAUAUCAAUAAUAAAAUACAUAUAUAUUCAAA